ACUCCUGCGGGAGGCAGCAGUGGGGAAUUUUGGACAAUGGGCGAAAGCCUGAUCCAGCAAUGCCGCGUGAGUGAAGAAGGCCUUCGGGUUGUAAAGCUCUUUUGUCAGGGAAGAAACGGUGAGAGCUAAUAUCUUUUGCUAAUGACGGUACCUGAAGAAUAAGCACCGGCUAACUACGUGCCAGCAGCCGCGGUAAUACGUAGGGUGCAAGCGUUAAUCGGAAUUACUGGGCGUAAAGCGUGCGCAGGCGGUUUUGUAAGUCUGAUGUGAAAUCCCCGGGCUCAACCUGGGAAUUGCAGUGGAGACUGCAAGGCUAGAAUCUGGCAGAGGGGGGUAGAAUUCCACGUGUAGCAGUGAAAUGCGUAGAUAUGUGGAGGAACACCGAUGGCGAAGGCAGCCCCCUGGGUCAAGAUUGACGCUCAUGCACGAAAGCGUGGGGAGCAGACAGGAUUAGAAACCCCAGUAGUCCCAUG
This 473-nucleotide ribosomal RNA is filed under the name uncultured organism. RNAcentral describes it as "partial 16S ribosomal RNA". It matches the Rfam family "Bacterial small subunit ribosomal RNA", at positions 335 to 799 of the family's 1533-position model. The record is from RNAcentral.